GAAAAGCCCGAGCCCUCCCCCUUCCCUUUCCCCACCCCCUCAUAGCCCGGCCGGAGCCAAGCUCAAGCUGUCUUCUGUAACGCAACUAUUUUGGAAGAGAGGAAGCUACCAAAAAAAGAUCAACUUCCUGAAGGCUGUUGCUACAGUUUCCUAAUCCAGGACUGCUUUUUACCUGCCUGCCUACUCAGCACAUCAACAGGAUUUUUUUUGUAAAAUGCUAGUUAAUGUACAUUUGGUGGAGCGUAUUACAUAUAUUUAGUCUUAGGUGUUUGAAAAUAUAUGAAGAACCAAUCAUACAGAUAAAUUAGGGUUCUACUUCAACAUCAAAUCAAGACCACCAGGUUCUUGCAAAUCCACACAAUGAAGAAACCAAAAAGAUUGCAGCGCACAUGGUUGUAACGGCCUCUCUGGCACCAAUAAAUAGUGAAAUUUCUUGUCCUAUUCAUCUUUCCCAUGAUCAAAAAACACCACUGAUCAUAAAGAACAAUAAAAUCUCCAAAUCUACCUCAUUAGCAAGCAGGAAAUGAAAGUGCUGCACAGUUACAGCUUAAUGCGUGGAGUGGGUCCUCGCUCCAUACCACAGUCAAUUUCUCGAACUUCCAGUAAUGCCCCCCCUUCACCAUUCCCCAUUCACAUUUCCUUCUCUCACUUUACCUCCUUACCUCUAUCUGGUGCUCCUCCCUUUUUUCUUUCUUCCACGUCCUCUCCUAUCAGAUUCCCCCUUCUCCAGCCCUAUAUCUCUUUCACCCAUCAACUUCUCAGCUUUUUACUUCACCCCUCUACUGUGCCCAGUUUCACCUAUCACCUUGUGUUUCUUCUUCCCCUCCCUCCAUCCUCUUACUCUGACUCCUCAUCUUUUUUUCCUCCAGUCCUGAUGGAGGGUCUCGGCCCGAAAUGUGGACUGUACUCUUUUCCAUAGACACUGCCUGGCCUGCUGAGUUC
Molecule: long non-coding RNA, 942 nt
Organism: Hypanus sabinus (Atlantic stingray)
Lineage: Eukaryota; Metazoa; Chordata; Chondrichthyes; Myliobatiformes; Dasyatidae
Exons: 3
Source: RefSeq, a predicted model, not a curated record